RNAcentral lists this long non-coding RNA (1078 nucleotides) under Callithrix jacchus (white-tufted-ear marmoset). Its description in RNAcentral is "lncRNA (ENSCJAG00000084953.1)". The record is from RNAcentral. Lineage: Eukaryota; Metazoa; Chordata; Mammalia; Primates; Cebidae.
UUUGCUGCAGCUGCCUCUAACGCCUCCAGAUGGCGCGCUGGUGCUCGUUCUCGGCUCUCAGCGACCGGCCAAUUGCCAGCUGCUGGGGAGAAUGAGCUUGGAGCCGCAGGGCUUAAUCCCGCGCGGCUCAGAGAUGGGUUUCUGGACUCGCGAAGCAGCUGCAACAAGGCAUCACUCACUGUACAAGUAUUUCCAUUUCUGAGAGCAAAAGGAAGAACUUAAGCGGGCGGCACUUGGAGUGUAAAUUGCUUUGUAGUAUUUAAAGGCAGAAUGGAUCCUGGGCAGCCGAGCUGGUACAUUUGGAUACUAAAUCUUUCAUAAUUACUGAAGGAACAUGACUGGUCCUAAAAUGCAAGUGGGCAUAAACAGGGAACGAAAUGACAGGUGAGACUACAUUUUAAGUGAUUUAUUAUUAUUUCCCAAUUAAAAUCAAAGCAACAGGAUGGGUCAAGUAAUUCAAUAUGCACUUUAAUUAGCAAGAAAAAUAUUAAUUAAGCUUGACUAUUAAAAUGACUUUUAUGUUAUUUUAAUAAUAACUAGUAAUAACUUUGCAAGAGGCAAAUUAAACAAAACUAAACUUUGAUUUAAUAAUUCACUGAGCCUAACAGCUGAACUGUAUCGUUCAGAUAUUAUUAGCAAGAGUCUGAAGAUAAAAACAUCAUUUCAGGCUUUAAGUUUCUAUCAUUUCAGGAAAAAGAUUCCAUCUGUACUCUUGAUGAAGGAUAUGGGCUCAAGAGAUAUUUCAAAAGCAACAGCUGAAGGAAUACCACUAAGAUAAUUUUUUCCAGAAUCCCCCCCAUGCCAGUAAUGGAAAAACAAAAUGGAACAAAGGAAAAAUAAGGUUUUUAUCCACAACAUGGCAAUAAGAAAUGCUGGUGAGGAUGUGCAGAAACGGGAACCCUCAUACACUAUUGAUGAGAAGCUUUGGAUGUUUAAAAGUCUGCAGCACCUCCCACCUUGCCCUCUUCCUCAUUCUCCGGCCAUGAGAGAUGUUCUUGCUUCCCUUUCACCUUCUGCCAUAAUUGUACAUUUCCUGAGGCCUCCGCAGACAUGCUUCCUGUACAGCCUGCAAAACUGA